Molecule: ribosomal RNA, 425 nt
Filed under: uncultured bacterium
Lineage: Bacteria
Description: partial 16S ribosomal RNA
Rfam family: Bacterial small subunit ribosomal RNA
Source: RNAcentral
GUGGGGAAUAUUGGACAAUGGGCGCAAGCCUGAUCCAGCAAUGCCGCGUGUGUGAAGAAGGUCUUCGGAUCGUAAAGCACUUUCGACGGGGACGAUGAUGACGGUACCCGUAGAAGAAGCCCCGACUAACUUCGUGCCAGCAGCCGCGGUAAUACGAAGGGGGCUAGCGUUGCUCGGAAUUACUGGGCGUAAAGGGCGCGUAGGCGGCUCUGUGAGUCAGGCGUGAAAUUCCUGGGCUUAACCUGGGGACUGCGCUUGAUACUGCAGGGCUUGAGGCCGAGAGAGGGUGGUGGAAUUCCCAGUGUAGAGGUGAAAUUCGUAGAUAUUCGGAAGAACACCAGUGGCGAAGGCGACUCACUGGCCCGUUACUGACGCUGAGGCGCGAAAGCGUGGGGAGCAAACAGGAUUAGAUACCCUAGUAGUCC